CGCAACUUACCCUAAUCUCGAUUCGAGGAGGUAGUGACAAGAAAUACCGAUGCGGGACCCCUACGGGUGCCGCGUUCGGAAUGAGUACGAUUCGAACCACCUAACGAGGAACGAUCGGAGGGCAAGUCUGGUGCCAGCAGCCGCGGUAAUUCCAGCUCCAAUAGCGUACGUUAAAGUUGCUGCAGUUAAAAAGCUCGUAGUUGAACGUUCGGGUUCCGCGGGACGGGGCCGCCCCGCGAGGGACGGCGCCGCCCCGGGGCUCGUGAUAUCUCAUCUCGCCGCCCGUCGCGAGGCGGACGGGAGGGGAUGGAUGAGGUUACCUGGAAAAAAUCGGGGCGAUCUAGGCGGGCGAACCUCGCCAACGAACGAUCGGACAUGGGAUAACGGAAGAGGGCGUCGGCUCGACUUCGUCGGUUCCUCGGGCCGAGGCACGUACGGUG
This 440-nucleotide ribosomal RNA is filed under the name uncultured eukaryote. RNAcentral describes it as "bacterial SSU rRNA". It matches the Rfam family "Eukaryotic small subunit ribosomal RNA", at positions 435 to 887 of the family's 1831-position model. The record is from RNAcentral.